AUUGGCACUGCUGGUUUUCAAAUAUAAGUAACUUAGUUUUUUCCUUUUUAAACUUAGCCUAUGGUUUGAAGAGAGAUUCCCACACAGUAGACAUGGAAUGCACAUUUGCACUGAUUUUUGGAGCUGCUUUAUAACAUUGAACAUGCUGCUAUACCCUCAGCUCAGCAAGGCUGAAGGAACUUAAAACUUCUUGGUAGCCAGCCAUAUCCAUAACUAUUUGAAUAUGUCAAAGCAGUGUUUAUUAUUGGCAGUCAUUGUUGAAACCCAAGGAAAAGCCACGUUUGGGGAAAUAUGAAAGACGAGAAAUUGGCACUCUUUUAAAGUGUUAACUGUGGUCACCAUGCUGUAUGUUACAUCUCCACUACCUGUUUCUCUCGGAC
Molecule: long non-coding RNA, 380 nt
Organism: Molossus molossus (Pallas's mastiff bat)
Lineage: Eukaryota; Metazoa; Chordata; Mammalia; Chiroptera; Molossidae
Exons: 3
Source: RefSeq, a predicted model, not a curated record